RNAcentral lists this ribosomal RNA (601 nucleotides) under Cicindela hybrida. RNAcentral's name for it is "partial 16S ribosomal RNA". It matches the Rfam family "Bacterial large subunit ribosomal RNA", at positions 1857 to 2733 of the family's 2925-position model. Lineage: Eukaryota; Metazoa; Arthropoda; Insecta; Coleoptera; Carabidae. The record is from RNAcentral.
ACCUGCCCAAUGAGGAAUUAAAUGGCCGCAGUAUUUUGACUGUGCAAAGGUAGCAUAAUUAUUAGUUUUUUAAUUGAAAGCUUGUAUGAAGGGUUGGACGAGAUAAAAUCUGUCUUUAUUUAAAUUACAAUAGAAUUUAACUUUUAAGUCAAAAGGCUUAAAUGUGUAUAAAAGACGAGAAGACCCUAUAGAUCUUUAUUUAAUUAAUAUUUUGAUAAUUUAAGAUUAUUUUAGUUUAAAGUUUUAAUUAAAUUUUAUUGGGGUAAUAUAGAGAUUAAAUAAAUUCUUUUUAUUUAUUACAUUGAUUUAUGAAUAUAUGAUCCAAUAUUAUUGAUUAUAAGAUUAAGUUACCUUAGGGAUAACAGCGUAAUUUUUUUGGAGAGCUCAUAUCGAUAAAAAAGUUUGCGACCUCGAUGUUGGAUUAAAAAUUAGCUUGGGUGCAGAAGCUCAAGAUUUUGGUCUGUUCGACCAUUAAAUUUUUACAUGAUCUGAGUUCAGACCGGCGUAAGCCAGGUCGGUUUCUAUCUUUAUUUAUCUAAAAUAUUUUAGUACGAAAGGACCAAAUAUUUAAUAUAAUUAUAUUUCUUUUUUGAAUAAUAUU